Long non-coding RNA from Astatotilapia calliptera (eastern happy), 6364 nucleotides. The record is from Ensembl. Lineage: Eukaryota; Metazoa; Chordata; Actinopteri; Cichliformes; Cichlidae.
CAGGGAUUAGGAUUAGGAUUCAACUCUAUUGUCAUUACACAUGUAUAAAUACAGGGUAACGAAAUACAGUUUGCAUCUAAUCAGAAGUGCAAGAGUAGCAAGUGCAAUAAGAGCAGAAUACAUACAGAUAAGUUAAGUAGAGAGCAAAUAUAGAGAUGUACUGAUAUAGACAGAUAAGGGUAGUUUAAAUGGUGGAAUAGUUAUGAACAGAUGAUGUACAGAAAGAGCAAAUAUACAGCUGAACUACAAACAAAUGUACAGAUAUACAGAUGAUCUGUGCACCACACAGAUGUUCUAUAUUGCUAUACAGACGGGCAGAUAUACAGGUGUACUAUGAACAAAUAUACAGAUGUGCUACAUAUAUACUGUCAGGUUUCCUGGGUCGUUGACCCAGUGAUUUCAGUUUGUUCAUGUUCAGUUUAGUUCGCCACAUUAAUAUUCUCACUUCCUGUUUUUCCCCGUGUCAGCUUGUCUUCCAUGUCAUUAGUCAGAUUAUGUUCAGCUCUGUACUCACCUGUUUCCAAUCAUUGUCAUCAUUCAACCUGUGUAUUUAAGUUCCUCGGUUUCACCAGUUCUCUGUCGUGUCAUUGAUGUUAUGUCGUCGUCUCCGUCUGUACGUUCAGCUAGUCAGCCAGCCAUCCUUCCAGUCUUUCAGCCAGUCAGUCACUCCAUCGUUCCUGCUUUGUUCAUUCACCCUCCAAUAAAUCCUCUUCAUUUCUGCACCGUGAGUCCAGCGUUUGGGUCAUCUCUUCCACGCCUCCACACACAACCUCUGACAUAUACAGAUGUAGCGGUGUGAGGUAAACAGAUCUACAGAGUGUUAUUUUCAGGUAAAUUCUGAACAUGUAACUUUUCUCAGCACAGCAGUAAUACGCAGUACAGCUGUCUGUUAACUGUGCUACAUUUGUAUACCAUCAGCUUCUUUGUUACUCCAUCAGCUCAAAUAAGGAAAAACGUUAGAAACAGCUGUUUACCGUCACUGCCGCCAUCUUGGAAUGUUAAGCCGGGGUUGGAGGGGAAAGCUGAGGUGGGGUUGUUAAUCUGGAACGCACCAUCAGUCUGACUCGCAGCAAGAGUGUCAUUCAGCUGUGUGUGUGUGUGUGUGUGUGUGUGUGUGUGUGUGUGUGUGUGUGUGUGUGUGGUCUUCUCGUGUUUCUGCUUCUUUGAAAUCUUUAAACUCUCUGAACUAAAAGCUUUUGGUUGUCAUGAUAUUUUAAAGAUGCGCACAAACACACACACAAACAGUAAACAGGCAGUAUUUUUAGUUCUGUUGCUAAGAGGGGUGCCUCCUCCUCCGCGUGAGGAAGUCAGCCUGACAGUCGCUGUGUGGGACAGGUGAUGACCUGGGGAGAAGGCGGAGUCUCAGGUUUGUUUCUGACCUGCUGCAGACUGUUGGAAUCACCUUUACACAGACUGUAGACAAAGAUGGAGGUCAAGUAGGAAGCUUCUUGAUCGCCCCCAGGUUGCUUGCUGUGACUUUGGUUUUAAGCCACGCCCCCUCACUCUGCUUGUUUAUAUUUGUGUGAUUGCUUCAUUGAUUGAUGAAUCUGAGGAACCCAGGAGUUAAGUUAGCCACUUCCACUCCGUGCAGCUUCCACUGGGCUGGCAGGCCAGCAGCUAACCUGAAUGCCAGUCUUUGUCCACAUUGAUUUACAUCGAAGUAGUGACCAGAGCUCUUUCUCCUCACAGGAAGUGACCGUCAGCAACAGGAAGUGUUGGACCCGAAAUAAACACAACAUCCAGAUGAUCCAAUGAGACUGAAGAAAACCCAGAAGUGGCAUACGACCUGGUACUAAAUACAUUAGAGGGUUCCCCAGGCAACCAGAGCGUGGAGUGUCCACCAGCAACCAAUCGUCAGCUGCAAAGCAGAGUAUGACGAGUAUGACCAGCAGCUUCAGAGGCCAUGCCCUUGAUAAUGCACACUUCAAUCCAGUGAGGUAUGUUGGAGCAGCAGUUUAUCGGCAGCUGAGAGGAAGAGGUUGGGUAAACUCAUCAGGAAGGCCAGCUCUGUUCUGGGAUGCACCCUGGACCCAGUGCAGGUGGUGGGAGACAGAAGGACUGUGGAAAAAUAACAUCUCUGAUGGACAGAGCCUCCCACCCCAUGCAUGUAAGUGUUGCUGCAGAGCUGCUUCUGUGACCGACUACUGCAUCCUCGAUGCAUGAAGGAGCGUUUCUGCAGGUCCUUCCUACCUGCAACUGUCAGACUGCACAAUCAGAACUGCUCCCAACAAACACAGAUGUUUACAUCAGCGCUGUAACUGCACUCAUCAACCAAACAACUACUACUGUUAUAGCUGCAUAUUACCUAUCUCAGUUUAUAUAAAAAAACCCUAUACUUUAAUAACUGUACUUUAAUAAACUGUCUGUUUUUGUAAUUAUUGUCCAUAAAUAUUUUUUUCUGUAAAAAUUGUUUGUUUCUCUCUUCUGUUUGUAGAUGUGCUUUUAUUCUGCUGCUGCUGUUACAACCAAUUUUCCCCUUGUGGGACAAUUAAAGGAUUAUUCUAUUCUAUUCUUUUAAGCUCUAAAAACUGCAGUCCCUCUGACAGCCACCAGAGAUUAAAUGUUCCCACACAUCAAGGUGAGUUUGAUGGGCCGCUCCCCUGUUUCAGUAACCUCUGCAGGUACCUUUCACAGGUGAAACAAAAUGAACGCUGUUAGACUAAGGAUUCUCUAAAAACUUUACCUGUAAAGACUGAUUUCUUAAAUCCAGCUUCACACACAGAGUUACAGAGUGAGUGUCUGAGAGCAGGCUGUACAUGAGCCUUUAUACAUGUGACGUUUCAUGUCCACUUUAACUAAGAACAUGUUCUUAUCUUGUGGUGCAAACUGAUAUCACAGGAAAGUUUGCAGUACGUUGCAGCCUAUACAACCCAAAUUAAAAGAUAUAUGCCUUUAAAGGACUUUUAAAAUAAUUUUGGCAUAAAGAAGGAUCACUGCAUCAACAAAAACAAUUUUCACCCAGACUAAGUCUAUUUUAAUCUUUAAUGAGAUCAUUAAAAAUGCUUCUCUGCCUGCUGCCCUCAGAGUUUAAAUGUGAAUGUUCACGUACAGAGAAACAGCCUGUCCCUUUAAGGUAAAUCUGGAUUUCAGUGCACACAUGAUGGCAGCAGAUUAGUCAUCAGGAAAUGCUCACGCAUGCAUACAUGAUCACACACACAUGUGAUCAUGUAUGCAUGCGUGAUGUCCUGGCCUACAUCUGCUCAGCUCUUUAUCACAGCUCACUGACCCACUCUCUCUGUGUGUGUGUGUGUGUGUGUGUGUGUGUGUGUGUGUGUGUGUGUGUGUGUGUGUGUGUGUGUGUGUGUGUGUGUCACACUGGGCACUAGGCCAAUAGUGCAGCUGGAUUUGUGUCAUAUGACCUGAAUCUGAGGUUGUCAUUCUUAAGCUUGAGGUUAAACCUGAUGAGUUUCACUUUGUGCAAUUUUCAGCCAUCCUAACCUGCAGACUCUCUCUCUGGAUGCUCCUAAUUUUUAUUCUUAGUGAUUCUAACAGUUGUAAUCUCAAGAAAUCACUGAACAAUUUAUUUCAACAUGUCACUUGUCCUACAAGGCAUAAUAAAACGCUGUAUUUGUGUUAUGGACCAAUUAAGGGGGCAUAUAAGUCUGUGGCCGGACCUGCACUAUGUUCCUCGGAUCACAAUGUUAUUCACCUCCUCCCUGCCUACAGAUCUGUGAUUAGGAGGGAGAAGGCCUGUGUGAAGCGGACUAAUGUCUGGACAAAAGACAGUUGUGUUGCCCUUCAGGGGUGUUUUGAUUGCACUGACUGGUCCUGGUUUCAAGAGAACACUUGUGAUUUGGAUGAACUCACCGAUGUGGUGUGUAGCUACUAGGGGUGCAACGAUAUUCGUAUCGAUAUUGAACCGUUCGAUACAGUGCUUUCAGUUCGGUACGCAUAUGUAUCGAACAAUACAAAAUUUUUAAUCCUUGCAACAUGGCAAACUGAACCUCCCCCACCCUCAUUCAGAUCUGGCCUUUGGAAGUAUUUUGGUUUUCAUGUGACGUAUGACCCUGAAGGUAAGCGCGUCAUGGACUAAAGUAAAACAGUAUGUCGGAUGUGCCACCAAUGCUCAAUUACAUUGGUGGGAACUACUGCGUUAGCGCAGUUAGCUCGUUAACGUGUUGGCCUGGACGCCCCACGAACGGGGCGAUCCGCGGUAGCUCUUUAACGGAGAUUUGCCAUGUUGUGCCGUUAACGUCAUUUCAGAUUAACGCUGACAGCACUAGUGGGAACACAACGAGUAUCACUGCACAUUUACACCGACAUCAUCCUCGUGCAAAGACAAGUGGAAGCAGACAAAAACAACAAGCACGCAUGCUACACACUUUACCCGAGUCAUUUAGACAGCCGUUAGCACAGGAUUCUCCUUAUGGGGACCUGAUAUGUUUAAUAUGCUGCUGAGAAUAUAGCCCAGAAGAAGCGGAUAGUAGAGCUUUUAUUUUGGAAAGAGCCAUUUCUCUGUAAUAAACUCUCUUUUCCAAAGAUGAGUGAUUCCUCAAUCAGAUACAGGGCUCGCAAAAUCGCUAGCCCGACGUCCCGGGGCUAGCGAUUUUUCCAGUCCAGCUACCAAAAUCUAUCUCUGCCCUGCCCGUCGGCCUAUUGUAGGAAGGAAAAAUAUACAGGUAUGUCAAUGCUUUUGCAUUCUUUCGGAAAUGUAGCUGGGUAAUUAUGUCAUUGGCAUCGGUGAGCCACUGUCAAUAUGUGACAUUGAAAUCGCGUUUGAAUUUGCGCUUGUUUUUUGCUUUCACUUUGCAAUCGUGCGAACUGUGUAUAGAGAGCGACAGCACUGAUUGGUGAGUGAUGAUAAUUUGAGCACCAAUUCCUCUGACAUUGUCUUAUCAAUCGUUAGCUUACUAUGCAAACAUGACAAGUUUGCAUAGUAAGCUAAAACGGAAAAGUUAUGACAAAUCAGACUAUAAGGCAAAAAGAAAGUGCAGCUUUAUGGUUUCAUGGACAAAAGAAUUUCUGUGGCUGCAAUAUGACGAGCUAAAUAACCAGGGCUGCACAUAAGUGGUGCGCAGGUGCGCAUUCGCUGUCAAAAUAAAAAACGUGCACCAGAUAAGAAGUUGCAACGCGUGUUUGCGUACAUAAGAUUUUCUGGAGGAGAACAGACAUUUGUUUAGAACUCUUAAAGAUGCCGAAGAAGCUCCUUUAAGCAAUUACUGUGAUGUUCCUCCACCUCCAAAGAAAUGUCAGGAGUCCGAACCACAAAAGAAGCACGUAUUCUCGGAAAAGUGUUUGCAGGAGGUGAGCUGGCUUCAAACAAAUGAUGAACGCACAGAGAUGUGGUGCAGAAUGUGCCGUGAAAAUCCCACUCUAGCGGACAAAAACAGUGCCUUUUAUAUGGACGCAAACGCGCGCUGCAACUUCUUAUCUGGUGCGCGUCUUUUAUUUUGACAGCGAAUGCGCACAUGCGGACCACUUAUGUGCACCUGUGUAAAUAACAUAAUGUUCUGCCGGGUGUGUUGUUGGUUUUCCCUCGAUUUCUGAGUCGACAAGCGCCUUUGUUACUGGGACCAGUCAUUUUAAGAAAGGCCCCCAUUAGAACCCAUGAGAAAUGCAAGAAAUGCAUUAUUGCUCGGUCUGCAAUAUCUUUCCCAGAACAAACACCAAUUGCAAAUAACAUACUAAAAAUAAACCUGAAAAUCUGUUUAGAACAGCUACUAUGUUGCAAAGAGUGAACUACCACUGGCAAAAUUUAGCAGUCUUUGCAAACUUCAAAAAGCAAAUGUCCUCGAUCUUGGUUCCACUUGCCUCUUACCCGUGACUUCAGUGGAAAUUUCAGAUUCAGGAUCUGACACAGACUGAUUCAUGUCCUACACAGUUCUUACAAGUUCAUAGAAAUUUCUGUUCAAUUAGAACAAAGUAUUUGAGUUGAUGAUUGUAAUUUUUAUACAAUGUUGUAAUUUGUUUUUCAACAAUUUUUUGAUUAAUGUUUUGUUUCCUUUACAAUAUUAUACAUUAAAGUAUAAUAUUGUAAAGGAAACAAAACAGGAAACAAAACAUCAAUCAAAAAAUUGCUCUCUUUUUUUAUUCAGGUUACUUAAAUUUAUUUUAGGCUACCAAAAACUGAAGAGUUCCUCCCCGAAGGGCUACCAGGGAUUUUGAAAUUUUGCGAGCCCUGAGAUAUAUUUAUUUAUUUUUAUUACUUUUUUGUUUCAGCAACAUUAAAUUUAAAAACUGUACUUUUGAGUUAAAAUAUAUAUUUAUAAUUUUAAUAAAUGACAAAUUAAAAAGGCAUGAACAUUUUUUUUUUGUAUCGAAAGAAUAUCGAACUGUGACACCAAAGUAUCGAACCAAACCGUGAAUUUUGUGUAUCGUUGCACCCCUAAUAUAUAUGUAUAUUUCUGAAUUUGGCUGUUGUUAC